UACGUAGGGUGCGAGCGUUAAUCGGAAUUACUGGGCGUAAAGCGUGCGCAGGCGGUGCUGUAAGACCGAUGUGAAAUCCCCGGGCUUAACCUGGGAACUGCAUUGGUGACUGCAUUGCUGGAGUAUGGCAGAGGGGGGUGGAAUUCCACGUGUAGCAGUGAAAUGCGUAGAGAUGUGGAGGAACACCGAUGGCGAAGGCAGCCCCCUGGGCCAAUACUGACGCUCAUGCACGAAAGCGUGGGGAGCAAACAGG
Molecule: ribosomal RNA, 253 nt
Filed under: uncultured bacterium
Lineage: Bacteria
Description: partial 16S ribosomal RNA
Rfam family: Bacterial small subunit ribosomal RNA
Source: RNAcentral